RNAcentral lists this ribosomal RNA (1113 nucleotides) under Triticum aestivum (bread wheat). RNAcentral describes it as "partial small subunit ribosomal RNA". Lineage: Eukaryota; Viridiplantae; Streptophyta; Magnoliopsida; Poales; Poaceae. The record is from RNAcentral.
AUGGACGGCCUCCAGCGCCGGCCCGCGGCGGCGGCCGCCGCCAGCGCGAGGGGCGAGGGGCAGCCCCCGGGCGCGCAGCGCGUCAUCCACUGCGACGUCGAGCCGGCGCCGCGGGCGUGGCCCGGGAUGCAGAUGCUGGCCCUCGCCGCCGUCCUCGUGCUCGGGGGCCUCCAGUUCCUGCCGGCCACCCACUUCCGCCACCCCGCCGACCGUUCCCGCACCUGGGUCCCCUUCGACUCCUCGCGCCACCCCCAGGAUCUGUCCCAUGAGGUUGAAACUGUAGAUGUCUACUCAUCAAUAAGCUGUCUGGAUCUUCGUACUCUUGCUGUGCUGACAAACUCCACCCUGUCCAGCUCAAGUGAUCCGCAUCAUGUAUCCUUCAAUUUCUUGAUACCUGAAGGAGGCAAUGAUCAAGUGCCCUACUACAAGAUAAAAUCAGUGCUACCUGAUUCAAAUAUUACUGUUACUAGCCAGAAGAAAAUCAAGGAUAAGCUAAAUCUUGCCACUCCAGAAGGAAACUUUUUUGUGUCAUUCCCCAAUGAACUGUCACCAAUCGUUAUUGCAAGGGCUCUCUCACGAACGAGAUAUGUUUAUAUCUCAGCAGACUCAAUCAUAAAGGGAAAAAUUGAAGACCUUGUUCGCAUUGAUUUAGGCAGUUAUGCCGUGGGUGCUUCUGAAGAUUGUAGCAUGCGCCUUGGAGAUUACAUCAGUAUGGAUGUUCUGAAUGCUGUCCAAAGAACAGCUCCAAGAGGGGUGGUACAUCAUACUGAAACUUUUGACAAGGAUGCGUGCUUUCUUGAUUUUGAUGUGCUCGUGGUGGAGCCACGUAAUAUAAAGAGGAAUCUGAUUGACUCUAUCGCCUUUUGGACCAUGGCUGUCAAACUAGCUAAUCCAAGGGACAGCGUUAUGUUGGCAAUGACUCUGGCCUUCUAUAACGAUUAUCUAAAGCUCCCUACCAACUGGAAGCGCGCAGACGCUAACACAGACAUUCUCUACUAUGAUGGACCCAAGAAUGUUUGCACUGAAGAUGGCCUCCAGCACCAAGAAAAAGGAUCCGGCGAGAUCUGGCAGCAGUACCUUGGUCCGAAGUCCGACUCGGUGUUGAGCACCUGA